RNAcentral lists this small RNA (641 nucleotides) under Pan troglodytes (chimpanzee). RNAcentral's name for it is "processed transcript". The record is from RNAcentral. Lineage: Eukaryota; Metazoa; Chordata; Mammalia; Primates; Hominidae.
GGGUCCUGUUCUUGUAUCGCGCUCGCUCUGCCUUCCCCUAUGCCCACCGCUUCCCACCCCAGACUUGGCUGUCCGCUCUGCGGCCUUCGGGCCCAGCCCUUUCGGGCUUGCUGAGCCUGGAGGCCGAGGAGAAUGCACUUCCGGGUUUUGCUGAGGCUCUGAGGAGCUACCAGGAGGCUGCGGCUGCAGGCACCUUCCUGGCGGUAGAGUUCACCACUUUGGCGGACUAUUUGCAUCUGUUGCAGGCUGCGGCCCAGGCACUCAAUCCGCUAGGCCCUUCUGCGAUGUUUUACCUGGCUGCGGCUGUGUCAGAUUUCUAUGUUCCUGUCUCUGAAAUGCCUGAACACAAGAUCCAGUCAUCUGGGGGCCCACUGCAGGGAAAAGUUCAGUUAGAAGACAUACUUCACCAUCUUGAAAAAGAAGAAAUCAAUCCCCUUGCUACUACAGAACAACAACUCUGUUUGGUGCUUAUUCCAGCCAGCACAGUGAAGACAGGCUGAGGACCGCUACCACAGAUGUAGAAGAGCUUAUAGUGAAGCACAUGGGUGAAACAAAAGAAGUGAGAACUAAUAGCAUAGAAUUUUAAAGACACCUGUGAUUUUGUUCAUUGCCCUUCAUUAAAUUGACAUAUUAAAAACUAA